This 72-nucleotide transfer RNA is filed under the name Candidatus Dojkabacteria bacterium CG_4_10_14_0_2_um_filter_Dojkabacteria_WS6_41_15. RNAcentral's name for it is "tRNA-Arg". It matches the Rfam family "tRNA". From Rfam's summary of the family: Transfer RNA (tRNA) molecules are approximately 80 nucleotides in length. Their secondary structure includes four short double-helical elements and three loops (D, anti-codon, and T loops). The record is from RNAcentral. RNAcentral also lists the same sequence under 2 other names.
GUCCUCGUAGUUCAAUGGAUAAAACACCAGCUUCCGAAGCUGGAUUUGUGGGUUCGAGUCCCACCGGGGGCA